AGAACCUGCGGGCGAGGUGGGUGGCUCGCCAGCCGGGACGAAGGGAAAUGAGGACCACCGCUCCGGGGCGCGAGUAGGCGCGUGGAGUCCGGGGGCUCAGCCGCCGCGCCUCUUCCUCCUGCAGCUGGAGACUGCAACAGCGGCGGGUGCACCGGCAGCAGCGACGACCCUGCGCGCAGGUGGCAGUGUAGAAGCCAGACCGGGAGCUUCCAGAAGUGGUUUCUGAAAGAGUCAAAUGUACAUGAGUAAGCAAGCACAGGAAUCUGAAAAACCACAGGAAUGAAAUGCAGAUAACUCUUUAGAAAACUUUUGUAGGAAAAGCGCCUCGUGUGAUCUGGAACAAAGACGUUUUAUAAUCAGAUUUAUCAAGCUGCGAAGAGGGAGUUUUAGUGAACGGAAGCAGCAGCAUUCUGUCACCAGGAAAUACUCCUUUAUCCAGAAUUGGUAAGUGAAAAGUGGCAUUGCUCCCUAAUAGAUAUCAUAUGCGUGUGUGGGAAUUGAAAAAUUGUUCACAGACCCCUAACAACUGUGUUGAACAGAGAACACAUAAACAGUGAGGAGUUCUAAAAAAGAGCAGCACGAGAAUACCGCAUAAAGACUGAGAAGAAGCCAGGUAAUUAACAAAAAUGAGCUGAGUGCUAUCAGUUUAGCUAAACAUAUGUAAUACAGCUAGAUUUGGUUGUUUUAUUUUUUCUUGUUAGUGGAGGAGAAACAUAAAAUCAGAAUGGGCUGUUUAGUAGAAUUGCGACAUUAACUUUCCAUGGAUGUAGAUUUCCAUUUAGUCUGAAUAGCAUGUAUGAAAUUUGAAGGGAUGCUUUCAGAAUUAGUCUACUUGCCCUCCUUUCCUUUCCUCUGCAUUAAGAUGUCAAGUAUUUAGUUAGAACCUUACAAGAUGAAAGUUGUACAAAAUGAAAGUUCAAGUAAUGCGUCGGAAACACCUCUCCUGAUUGGGAAGGGUAGAUUACAAUGGCAAUAGAUUUUUGUUUUUUGUUUCUUACAUUUGUGUCACGAAUUUUAAGUUUGUUCUAUUGGAUUACAUUAGUACAGCAAAAGGGGGGUUAUUUCUAUCUAUAUGGUUCAUGACAUUUUGAGAGGUCGUGAUUAGUAGUUCUUACUGGUUUCGUAUGCGUGUUCCUGCCUGUUGAAUUCAGUUUUCUAAUCUUGAAUCUGAGCUGCCUUUAUGUUAAAGGGUUCUAGAAAAAGACAAUAAAGCUUUGAAUACCCGUGUUAUAUACAACAGGUUCCUGUUCAUGAUGUAUAAGGUAACGCAAUUUUAUUUUAGGCAUGAAUGUCUAAUUUCUUGAUUUGGCUUCUUAAGAAUAUACUGAAAAGGUUGAAUAGAAUAAGAAAAAGAACAUUAGAAAAGAAUGGUGGGUGACUGCCUGAUUUUACUAGUUUCUUAUUGGUCAAUAGAAGUAAUCAUGUGAUGUCUACUUAUAGAAGCAAAUGGAAAAAAUUUUUCUUCUUUAACUGCUAACAAGUAUAUAGGCAAUUUUAGCAAUCUUCAUUUAUUAAUUUGAAUAUAUAAUUAUAACUGUUAUUAACAGAAUAAGUUUUGGGUAAUAUAGGAAAUAAUAAUUAUUUCUUUCUUUUUAAGCCAAAUUGGAAGUUGAAUCUACUUUUGGUUCCUGUUCUGUUACUUUCAAAAUCUUAAAAUCCUUAACUCAAAAGGGAAAAUGUAUAAUAAAACAGGAUAGCAGUGCUGAAAUUUCUCUCUCUUAGCAGUGGAGUGGGAUGAGGGUGGGGGAGGGAGAUGAAUCUAGUGAGAUAUAUUAAUUGUUUUUUCCCCCUCUUGUAUACUUGGAUAACUUUUGAGAUCAGUUUUCUCAGACUAGCAGCUCUCAAGACUUUUGCAUAAGUAUUUAUUCUUAAAGAAAUAGAAAGACAAGAUAAGCACGGCUCUUAAGGGCAGGUCCUCCAAUAAGUCAGGAAACGGGUGAUCCAAACUUGUGAACAUGACAAGUCAAUUUGACUUAAUUAAGGAAUGGCAUUAGUUUUCUUGAAGCACAUGAAUUUAUAGGUUUUUAGAGUCUUGAAGACAGAAAAAUGGCAACAAAGCAUUAAGGUAUUUACAGAUAAUUUAUAUUCAACUGCUAGCUUAUGUUUUCAACUCUGUAUUUCAUGUAAGUAAAUACUUGGGGAGAACAUGAUGAUUUAAUAAUCUGGAUAAAUACUGCCGUGCCUGUUGGAAAAAAGCCUCUAAUUUUUAGGUUUUCCUCAUCCAUUUAAAAUCCAUUGUUUUGAAUGACAAAAUGUGAUAGAAACAGGUUGGAACAGUAAAUGCUAGAAAGUAUAUCCCAGAAGAAUUAACUGAGAACUUCAUGUUUUCAAUUCUAUUUGCCGUUCUCUGUUCUCAAUUUGUUAAUUUUUAAAAGUACAUCGAAAGUGAGUAGCAUUGCUUGCUCUGAAUUCUCCUCUGGGGUCAUUGAGAGUAUUCACAUUUUCGUAUACCCUGUUAAAAGAUAUUAAUGCCAUGCAUAUGCCUUUGUCUUUGUGGGUGUGUAAAACAACAAACUGAAGGGAUCUGGUCAAGAGACAGACCUCAAAAUAAUUUCUCUGAAAUAGUGUUUGAAUUUGCAUGUUCGGGAACGUAAAUGCUUUCCCUUUGGGCUUGUUUCUUAAGUUUUUGGUGUAGUAUACAGUUUUACCCAAUUAAAUUUUUCUUUUGAGGUCUGUAUAUGUAUGGGUGUCUAUAUUUGAUUUGAAGGGGGAGUUUUAAUCAUUAGUGAAACAAGUGGCUGUUUGUUAGAACCCAGAUAAGCCUCAUAGUGUUGUUCCUAUGACAACUGAGUAGUUGGGUGUUGAAAUGUAGCUUUAAGUUCUUGGUUUGGAAAUGUCAUUCAGACCUCCCACUAUAGUCUCAUUGAGUAGGAGGAUAAUGAGAAGGGGAAAAACCAUGAAGCAACAUAAGUAUCUCCGUUCGUUUCAUGUCUUCCUGACUUGUCUUUGUGUACAGGAUCGCCAUGGGAGUGGUAAACAUAGGUCUUGAACAAAGCAAUACUUCAAUUAAAAAAAUACAUGGAAAGGGUCAGAAAAGUUGGGGAAGAUAAAUAACAACACAUGGGGGCAAUAAAGAGGCAAGAGAAAUAGGCUUCCAUGGGUUUCUGCAAAUCCUUUAUCCAGUGCUGACCAGCAGUGAGAACAUCUUGAACCAGUUAUUGUAUAGCUCUUCAAGAGCUGUGAAUUUCCUUAAAAUGCAAUGUGGAGAAAAUUCCUUUGGUAGCAGGAUGGUUUACCACUUUGGCAUAACGUUUAUUCAUCUCCCCCAGGCAGACUACAGAGGAUACUGUGUUCUUUUAAGGCACAUGUUUUUAAACCAGUUGUUCAUUUGUCAUUUAAUAGCUUUUGUCUUUUUUCUAUGGGAAAGACAAGGUUGUACUAUUAAAAUAGUGAUAAAAUUUAAGUAUUUUAUUCUAUAUUCAAAAAGUGCUUUUGAAAAGUACUUAGAAAAAGAUUGUUUGAGACCUGUUGUUUGUGGAAAUGUCUGUCAAUGGAGAAUCUAUGGAGCACUGUAUUUGAGGAGAGGGAUUGUUCAGACUAAUAUUUGGCAUAGCUUAAUUAUGCAGUUGUUGAUUUUCCAUGUCUGAAGGUCUUCCUAUUUCCUACUCCUAAAUAGUUUUAACUAUUUAUUUGGUUGCUAGAACCUCCUGAAGUUAGAAAGAAAAAGAUUUCAGUGGGGUUAGUCUCUUAAUAAAUAUAUGCCCACCAUCUCUUCUGUAAUCCAAAAAGCUCUGAAAAUCAAAAGAUUUUCAUGUAACAAAUUUGGCAGCAAAUCCUGACCUGAACUGAUGUGAAGCUAAUGAUAGUCUUUGUUUAGCUCGCUCAGAAUGAAUCUUUGUAUGUUUUACUGUAGAAGUAUUAAUGUGUUUGAUCACGGAGUAUUGUUCCAGACUCCCCUAGAGGUUUAUAUACUAUAUUGAAUAGUCAACCUAUUACCUUUAUAAAAUAAUAAUAAUAAUCAAUCUGAGUGUCAGGUAAGCAUUUGUGGACCCAUAAUUACUGACAUACAUUGAGUUCAUAUUAUAUGCCGGGUACCAUUCUAAAUGAAUCACUGGCAUCUAAGAACAGUGUCUGGCACAUAGUAGGUACUUAGUAGACACGUUUUGGUAGGAACUGCUUUACACUUAUUAAAUUCUUUAACUCACAAAAACAGUAUACAGGAAGUAGCGGAGCCAAGAUUUGAAAGCAGACAGUCUAGCUCCAAUCUGCUCUUAAUGAUUCUGAUGCAGGUACAAGAGAGGACUGGAGAUGUGGCACUGGACUUCUUAACUGAGUCAGAGGGGGUGUUUGAGUGAUUUACUUUAUUCAUAGUCACCCUAUACCUCCUACGAUCAAGAGCUGGUGGUAUCACCACUAUGGUCAUUAGCCGGGGCUGUGGUUGAAUGCUUAUAACAGGUUCUCCUGGGUGGGAGUGUAGGAAUUCCAGGGGUCUGAACUCUCCUCACAGGCUUCCCAAGGUGAUCUCCAUCAGUAAAUCAGCCCGACUUUUUCAUCUUGAAAAAUUAAGACAUAGGAAAUAACUCUUUCCUUAACCCUAAGGAAGUUUCCUUGAACAGUGGGAAAAACGUUUUUGUAGACAUUCCUUAGACCCCUUACCCAGCAGGAGGUGUGGAAUCAAUAAAGAGGGCAUGGGUCACCUCCAAGGUUGUGAGCUCCCUGGCUUGGGAACUACACUGGGACACAGCAGAGCCUCUUGGCAGAAAUCAGGCAGCCCAUGGAGCUUCAGCUGCAUGACUCUUUGAAUUCACAAAAGGAUACCUUUAACAGUACUUCUCAAAAAAUGUAUAUAAGGCAUGUCUCAAGUCCCUAUAUGUUUCUAGGGAUAAAAAAAUUCAUUUCAAACUGAUGGCAACCUCCCCAUUCUAUUCCCCAGCUUUCUAUCCUUCUUCCUGCUUAAUUUUUCUUCUUAGCACUUGCCUCUGUCUGACAUAUUGUAUGUCUUACUUAUUUAUUCAUUUGACAUUUUAAUUAGACACUAGCAGUAUUGUUUUCUUUGAAUACAUUUAAAGGUCCUAGAUUUAUUUCUUUUUGAUGCUCAUCUUCUAACUCAUUCCCUCCUAUCAAUCUCAGACUGCUGUAAAUAAAUGAUUUUUUGCCUUUUUUUUUUUUUUUUACUAUUAGUUAUCAUAUUUAUUUUUCUUAAACAAGCUGUACUGGUUAUACAGUCUGAAUUUGGAGAAUAGACGUCUUCAUUCAGGAGGGGAAAUUGAGCCAAGUUUGAAUAUAAUCAUUGGGUAACAAAUCCAGAAGAUUAAGUUACUAAGGAGAACAUGCAAAGUAAACACUUGCAUUUUAUGAACUACCUUCAAUUUAAAUAGACAACUGGGUAACUGUAUAUGACAUGUUUUGGGAGUAAGACCUGUUAAACCUACCUACUUCCUACUGUUUUCAUUUGAAAAAUAAAUCAAUUAUUAAACAGUUAUUCUACACAUUAAAGACUGUAAGUGAUUUAACCUUGAAUAUUUCCUGACUCAAGUUCUUAAAAUCCUCAACUCUAACCUCUUGUUUUUCAACCCCAUAUUUAUUCUAGUUUAUUCUUUCCAACAUAUUUAGGGCAAUCUAAAACAUAAAGUAAAAAAACCCCCACAUAUAUUAUUAACUAUAAACAAUGUGGUUAUGUAAAUGCAUCAUUUUAGUUGAUCUUUUUUCUUUAGCCUAGUUCUUUUUUUCUUUUCUUUUCUCUCUCUUUUUUUUUUUUUUUUUUUU
RNAcentral lists this long non-coding RNA (5706 nucleotides) under Homo sapiens (human). Its description in RNAcentral is "non-protein coding lnc-CXorf36-46:1". The record is from RNAcentral. Lineage: Eukaryota; Metazoa; Chordata; Mammalia; Primates; Hominidae.